UCCGUUGUAGUCUAGUUGGUUAGGAUACCUGGCUUUCACCUAGAUGACCUAGGUUCGAAUCCCAGUAAUGGAA
This is a non-coding RNA of Magnolia sinica, 73 nucleotides long. The record is from the annotation of a RefSeq genome assembly. NCBI's taxonomy places the organism in Eukaryota, Viridiplantae, Streptophyta, Magnoliopsida, Magnoliales, Magnoliaceae.